UUAUCUUGGCAGAAUAGUGUGAUGGAUUUAGAAUCUGUUUAUGUAAAUUAUUUACAGAUAAUAC
RNAcentral lists this transfer RNA (64 nucleotides) under Ptilodactylidae sp. 3 ACP-2013. RNAcentral's name for it is "tRNA-Leu". The record is from RNAcentral. Lineage: Eukaryota; Metazoa; Arthropoda; Insecta; Coleoptera; Ptilodactylidae.